CCUUAUUCAUAAACGCACAUUAACGCUAAACAGUGCAUCAUCUCUUGUGUAAAUCCUCGAAAUUUUAAAAUGAGCCCGACCCUAGUUUAACGGGAUUUUAGCGCAAAAAUCCAAGAUGGCCGCCUCACAUCAGCUGGCUUUUGACAGCAACUCAUGAACUGAUAUGAACCUCUGAGACGAGUGUUUGUUGCCUGUUCUUACAUUUUCUCAGAAAAAUGUAUUAUGUGUAAUUAAAUUGACAAGCUAAAAUUAUUAUUAAGUGGCGCAAAACCAAAGUAAUAUGUGUUGUGUGAAAUGCGGGCUACUUAUAUACCUAAACUGAAGGAUGUAACAGACUUUUGAUCGUGUCGAAGAAAAAGUGCAUUAUAUAGGGAACGAGUUCAGAGGCGAGGUGGCAGAAAUAGGUAAAAAUGUUGUCUGGCAGUAAUGAAACUUUUAAUGAAGCGAUGCAACCUAUGCUGGCAUGUUACUGGAAAAGUUGUGUCCAAUUUGGCCAUCAAGUGAAGAAAAGUCAUCACAGUUUGCUGCCUCCCUCUGCUGCUGCUGCUCGGUCCCAAGCUGAAGAUGGAAUUGUCAGAAUCUGAAAAAGACACAUCAGACAUAAAUAAAAUAUUUU
Molecule: long non-coding RNA, 616 nt
Filed under: Leguminivora glycinivorella
Lineage: Eukaryota; Metazoa; Arthropoda; Insecta; Lepidoptera; Tortricidae
Description: uncharacterized LOC125231631
Source: RNAcentral